This 1110-nucleotide long non-coding RNA is filed under the name Homo sapiens (human). Its description in RNAcentral is "non-protein coding lnc-BANP-1:16". Lineage: Eukaryota; Metazoa; Chordata; Mammalia; Primates; Hominidae. The record is from RNAcentral.
CAGAAACCUGUUUCCUGCAGGGACAUACAUUUAACGUCCGUGAAAGCCUCAGACCCCCUGAGCACACCUGCCUAGCCGUGUUGUGGACGAACAAGGGCUGACGAAAUGCCUGUGGAGGCUGAUUUCACCGGAGUCAGGGGAAGUCAGUCUAAGCAAAGAGCAGGGGCACGGAUGAAAAUAACAGAACAGUGACCCAGAAUCCUGGCUGUGGCCUCAUGAAACAGGUGCUGUUAAAAUCAGCUGCAUUGGAAACAGCCGAGUCAGGCAACGAAGGCACAGAGAGGUUAGACAACUUGUGGAAAAUCACGCAGCACCGGUGCCUCCACAUUCACACUCCGCCCCUCCGUGUCCUGCAAUCCUGACCAGCCCCACGUUCCCCAGGACAAGCCGCCAGCAUCCCGGAAGGGGUUAAUCCCUCUCUGGUGGGUCAGCUCCUGCCACUCUCCCGAGUGCUUUUGCACAUGGUCUGGUCGCAAUGUGCCCAAGACGGCCCUGUGCUGGGGAGGAAAGCGCUUACAUAAUCCUCCCCGAGUGUCUUCUCUCUCAGGCGGCAUGCACACCCCACUUGGGUUGCAACACAGGCAAGCAGAUGCCAGGAAAUUCUGAGGCUGCUGCUGAGCCUGGGCUGGGUGAGGCCCAGACCUGAGACCCCCUCACCUGUGUGGGCCCUUGGCUUCCUCUGUGCCCCUCCUGAGCGGGGUCCCUGGCACAGACUCUUGUUCAGACCGUGCAAGGUAGGUGCGUGGUCAGGAGCCCACGGCUCAGGACAGAAGCCAUUUGGGGAACCAGCGGGACCUCCAGCGGCUUGGAGGAGGCUGAGUGGGAAGCACGUUCCUACCCAGGCUGAGCACUUCACACAGGGGGCUGGGCCAGAGGGAGAGCUGCCUGCCCCGGAGACCCCUACCUGCCUUCCUGUGCUGGCACAGCCAUGCCCAGCCUCCGCUGGACAGCUUGGACUGAGGUUUCCUUGUGGUGGCCCCUCCCCAGAGUGUCUCCCGGGGGCACAGGCCCUGGCGGCAUGCACGUCACCCGGGGGGCUUUUAACAGAGACCAGCAACCCUCCCACAGAGGACUGGGGAGCCGGCCCGUGGCUGGCGUGGGGGAGGCAGG